AGGGUGAGUGAUGUAUAGGUAAUCUGCCCUUUGGACUGGGAUAACCCCGAGAAAUCGGGGACAAUGCCAGAUGAUGCAGCGGAACCGCAUGGUUAUGUUGUUAAAGAUUUAUCGCCAAAGGAUGAACCUAUAUCCCAUCAGGUAGUUGGUAAGGUAACGGCUUACCAAGCCUACGACGGGUAGUUGGUCUGAGAGGAUGAUCAGCCACAUUGGAACUGAGACACGGUCCAGACUCCUACGGGAGGCAGCAGUGAGGAAUAUUGCGCAAUGGGCGAAAGCCUGACGCAGCAACGCCGCGUGGAUGAUGAAGUUCUUCGGAAUGUAAAGUCCUUUUGUAGAGGAAGAAUAUCCCGGUUUACAGGGACUGACGGUACUCUACGAAUAAGCCACGGCUAACUACGUG
Molecule: ribosomal RNA, 403 nt
Filed under: uncultured bacterium
Lineage: Bacteria
Description: bacterial SSU rRNA
Rfam family: Bacterial small subunit ribosomal RNA
Source: RNAcentral